This 253-nucleotide ribosomal RNA is filed under the name uncultured bacterium. Its description in RNAcentral is "partial 16S ribosomal RNA". It matches the Rfam family "Bacterial small subunit ribosomal RNA", at positions 524 to 776 of the family's 1533-position model. The record is from RNAcentral.
UACGGAGGGUGCGAGCGUUGUCCGGAAUCACUGGGCGUAAAGGGCGCGUAGGUGGCACGGGUAGUCGUCGGUGAAAGCUCAGGGCUCAACCCUGAGUCGGCCGGUGAUACUCCCGAGCUCGAGUGUGGUAGAGGCCAAUGGAAUUCCGGGUGUAGCGGUGGAAUGCGUAGAGAUCCGGAAGAACACCGGUGGCGAAGGCGGUUGGCUGGGCCACAACUGACACUGAUGCGCGACAGCGUGGGGAGCAAACAGG